GUCCUCACCCUCCCCUGGUUUCUGACAUCUUCCUCCGUGGUCUAGGGCAGACUUUGAUCUUCAACUCAGGAAGCACCAAGAGUUCAUGCACAGAACGGUGCAGGCUGUUUCCCCAGCUAGGGGCGGGAUACCCACUGUGUGGUCUCAAGGCCAGCCACCUGCCACAGCCUGGAGACCAGGAAGCUUGGGGGUCUUGGAGGCUGCCUGCUGGACGCAGGGCAGAUUGAGAGUCUCAGCCGGACCACAGCUCCUGGCCUGGCAGCCGUCCAUCCGUCAGCCCACCCCACCGUCCUUCACCAUUCAAGCAAGUGGGGGAGCUGAGGAGCCCCUGGGGCUGGGGGUGGGAAGGAGAAGGAGCCCUGGGGGAGGGGGGCUUGUCAGGGGAAGGAAGGAGAGGGGAGUGGAGGGGAGGGGAGGAAGGGAGGGGAGAGGAGCAGAUGCGACCCGGCCCUGUCACAGGGAGGCUAGUGCCCCUCUGCAUAGCUCCUGCCCUUCUUCCAGCUGCCCUCUGACCCCCCUGGCCUCUGAGCACCAAGAGCCCCCGGCUCCCCGCCUCCAGGCUGCCGGGUUCUGGCCAACCCCCGCCGGUGGGAGCCGAGCCGAUGUGUGUUCUCCCUGCUGACUCUGCGAGCCCGGGGGUGGCCCGGCCCCAUCCAUCCCCUCCCUUCCCCCUGCUCCCCGCCCCUCUGCUCCUUGCCCCCUUAUCCCCUUCCUUCUCCCUCCUCCGUUCCUGUCUUCCCCAUGUCCACCACCAGCUCCCGGUCCCCACUCCAGCUGCCCAGGCCACAGUGUGAUUCGCUGUCCUGUCCUCUGAGGCUAUUUUCCCAACAGCGUUGGUAACCCCUUUCCACCAGGGAGCGGCUGACAGUAGACAAGUGGAAAAUGGAGAGAAUGGGUGACCCCCCACCUGUGAUUCCCCCGCCUGUAACCCCCAGCUGUGACCCCCAGCUGUGACCCCCACCUGUGACCCCCCACUUGUGAACCCCCCACCUGUGACCCCCACCUGUGACCCCAUCUGUGAUCCCCCACCUGUGACCCCUGACCUGUGACCCCACUUGUGACCCCCACCUGUAACCCCUCCACCAGUGACCCGCCACCUGUUACCCCCAUCUGUGACCCCCACUUGUAACCCCUACCUGUGACCUCCACAAGUGACCCACCACCUGUAACCCUGGCCUGUGA
This 1182-nucleotide long non-coding RNA is filed under the name Piliocolobus tephrosceles (Ugandan red Colobus). RNAcentral describes it as "lncRNA (ENSPTEG00000017180.1)". Lineage: Eukaryota; Metazoa; Chordata; Mammalia; Primates; Cercopithecidae. The record is from RNAcentral.